Molecule: ribosomal RNA, 377 nt
Filed under: uncultured bacterium
Lineage: Bacteria
Description: bacterial SSU rRNA
Rfam family: Bacterial small subunit ribosomal RNA
Source: RNAcentral
UAAUACGGAGGGUGCAAACGUUGCUCGGAAUCAUUGGGCGUAAAGCGCACGUAGGCGGCAUGUUAAGUCGGAUGUGAAAGCCCAAGGCUCAACCUUGGAAGUGCAUUCGAAACUGGCGUGCUUGAAUAUGGACGAGGGUCGCGGAAUUCCCGGUGUAGAGGUGAAAUUCGUAGAUAUCGGGAGGAACACCAGUGGCGAAGGCGGCGACCUGGGCCAAUAUUGACGCUAAGGUGCGAAAGCGUGGGGAGCAAACAGGAUUAGAUACCCUGGUAGUCCACGCCGUAAACGAUGGAUGCUAGAUGUGGUGGGUAUUGACCCCUGCCGCGUCACAGCUAACGCAAUAAGCAUCCCGCCUGGGGAGUACGGCCGCAAGGCUA